This 1865-nucleotide unclassified non-coding RNA is filed under the name Hevea brasiliensis (rubber tree). Lineage: Eukaryota; Viridiplantae; Streptophyta; Magnoliopsida; Malpighiales; Euphorbiaceae. The record is from RNAcentral.
AGAACACUUCUCUGAAACUUUUGGAUGCUUUUGUUGAUUUCUUUUUCGAGUUUGUUGACCAGCCAUUGCUCCCAUCGCAGAGCAACUUUGCUCCGGUUGAUGAAUUGAAGGAGGCAGUUGUUGUCAGCAGCAUUGAAGGAGAGAUUCCAUAUGAUUUUUCGGAAGGUGUCUACGUAAGAAACGGAGCAAAUCCUCUUUUCGGGGGACUAAAAUCGGCGACUUCUAUAUUAGGGAGGUCAAGCCACAUUUGGGUAGAAGGAGAAGGAAUGCUUCAUGUUUUAUAUUUUGAUAAAGGUAGUGAUGGAAACUGGACUGUUGUCUACAACAACAGAUAUGUCGAAACUGAAACGCUCAAGCUUGAAAAACAAAGAAACAAGCCAUCUUUUCUUCCUGCAAUAGAAGGCAGUUCAGCAGCAGUAGUAUCAGCUUACUUGCUAAAUCUGCUUCGAUUUGGAAAAGUUAACAAGUACAUAAGCAACACAAAUGUUUUCGAGCAUGCUAGGAAGUUCUACUCUGUUGCUGAAAAUCACAUUCCUCAAGAAAUUGACAUCUUCACCCUCAAAACUUUAGGCAACUGGGAUGUCAAUGGAUCCUGGAAUCGACCUUUUACUAGCCACCCCAAGAGAGCACCAGGCACAGGGGAGCUGGUUGUGAUGGGGGUGGAUGCUAAAAAACCUUUCAUGGAAUUGGGAGUAAUUUCUGGUACAAUUGUUACUGAAUAGCAAUAUUUAGAACAAGUGUUGCACAAUCAUAUACUUUGUUAACAUUUCCAAUAUUCAGCUGAUGGAAAGAGAAUGGUUCAUAAAGUGGAUCUCAAAUUGAAAAGGUGUACCCUUUGUCACGACUUUGGAGUUACACAGAGGUAUAAUCUGAUCUUGGAUUUUCCACUAACCUUGGACAUAUACCGACUCAUUAGAGGAGGCCCGUUAAUACAGUAUAAUAAGGAAGAUUAUGCAAGGAUUGGGAUAAUGCCUCGCUAUGGUGAUGCAGACUCAAUACAAUGGUUUGAGGUAGAACCAAAUUGCACAUUUCACAUUCUCAAUUGUUUUGAGGAUGGUCAUGAGGUUGUAGUGUGGGGGUGUAAGGCUCUUGACUCAAUCAUACCAGGACCUGAUAUGGGCUUAAAUAAGUUCGAGUGGUUUUCAAGGAGGUUUAGACAUAUAGAAUCAGAUAUUAAUACUGCUGAAGAUGGAUUAUUAUUUUAUCGCUGCCACGAAUGGCGAUUAAACAUGAAAACUGGAAAGACUAGAGAAAGAUAUCUCUCAGGAACGGAAUUCUCCAUGGAUAUGCCAAUGAUCAAUGGAGACUUUACAGGAGUUAAAAAUAAAUAUGGCUACACCCAAAUUGUUGACUCUGAGGCCAGCUCUAUUUCAGGCAUGACAAAAUAUGGAGGUCUAGCCAAAUUAUACUUUGCAGAGUCAGAAAACAAAUUUGAUGAGCUGAUAAAGGUGGAAUACCAUAAAUUUGAGAAGAACACCUUCUGCACUGGAGCUGCUUUUGUUCCUAAAAGACCAAGUCUUGAAGAAGAUGAUGGUUGGAUCAUCACUUUUGUUCGCGAUGAAGAUACUAAUGUGUCUAAAGCUUGUAUAAUUGACACAAAGAAGUUCACCAGUGAACCAGUUGCCAAAAUCACACUGCCAUGCAGAGUCCCGUAUGGUUUUCAUGGAGCUUUCAUGCCAAUUCCAUUCUCAAACUUGAAAACACCAUAAGAUGUACAAGUUCCCAGAAAAUUUGCUCCUCUGAUCAGCUCUGUAAGGAGUAAAUCCCAUGUGAAUUCCCCUUUGGAUAGGAACGGGGAGACCAACAUCUACACAAGUGAAAAGAAUCAUUGUAAAAUUUGAUAAAACAAAGGGAAUAUAUUUCUG